Molecule: ribosomal RNA, 255 nt
Filed under: uncultured bacterium
Lineage: Bacteria
Description: partial 16S ribosomal RNA
Rfam family: Bacterial small subunit ribosomal RNA
Source: RNAcentral
UUGAACGCUGGCGGCAUGCCUUACACAUGCAAGUCGAACGGUAACGCGGGGCAACCUGGCGACGAGUGGCGAACGGGUGAGUAAUGCAUCGGAACGUGCCCAGUAGUGGGGGAUAGCCCGGCGAAAGCCGGAUUAAUACCGCAUACGACCUACGGGUGAAAGCGGGGGACCGCAAGGCCUCGCGCUAUUGGAGCGGCCGAUGUCGGAUUAGCUAGUUGGUGGGGUAAAGCCUACCAAGGCGACGAUCCGUAGCUG